Molecule: transfer RNA, 68 nt
Filed under: Orraya occultus
Lineage: Eukaryota; Metazoa; Chordata; Lepidosauria; Squamata; Carphodactylidae
Description: tRNA-Ala
Rfam family: tRNA
About the family: Transfer RNA (tRNA) molecules are approximately 80 nucleotides in length. Their secondary structure includes four short double-helical elements and three loops (D, anti-codon, and T loops).
Source: RNAcentral
GAGGCUUUAGCUUAAUUAAAGUGUCUGAGUUGCAUUCAGGAGAUGUGUAAUAGAGUUAUACUAGCCUU